AUGCGAUAAUUAAUGUGAAUUGCAGAAUUCAGUGAAUCAUCGAGUUUUUGAACGCACAUUGCGCCCCAUGGCAUGCCGUGGGGCAUGCCCGUCUCAGAGUUAGUAAAACCAUUUCAGGCUGUAGCUUUUAUGCUUUGUCUGGAUUAUGUCAAAGAAGUGGAGUUUUUGUCUACUCUUUGUAAAGAAAUAGAUACCUUGAAAACUUGCUUGAGGCCAACGUAAUAAGAAAAUCCGGUGGUCAAAAGCAAAAAAUUAUUUCUUGGCAAGCCAAAAUUUUUAUUUAGGAAUUUAACCUGAGAUCGGGUAGGGAUACCCGCUGAACUUAA
RNAcentral lists this ribosomal RNA (326 nucleotides) under uncultured Hydnobolites. RNAcentral describes it as "eukaryotic LSU rRNA". The stretch from base 1 to 102 matches the Rfam family "5.8S ribosomal RNA", at positions 53 to 154 of the family's 154-position model. Lineage: Eukaryota; Fungi; Ascomycota; Pezizomycetes; Pezizales; Pezizaceae. The record is from RNAcentral.